UUAAGAGCAUAUGGCGGAUGCCUUGGUUCUACAUGGCGAUGAAAGACGUAGUAUGGCUGCGAUAAGCUUCGGGGAGGUGCCUAACAACCUUUGAUCCGGAGAUUUCUGAAUGGGGAAACCCAAUAGAGUAAACCUCUAUUAUCUUGGUCCGUAAGUGAUCAAGAUGCGCACCUCGGGAAGUGAAACAUCUCAGUACCGAGAGGAAAAGAAAACAAUAUAACGUAGUUAUAAUAUUCCCCCAGUAGCGGCGAGCGAAAAGGGAACAGCCCAAACCGGAGCAUCAUGAAGGAUAUGACAAAACGAUUUAUCGUCAGUUGUAUCCUUCAUGAUGCUCCGGGGUUGUAAGGCAGUGAGUCUCGUUUUACGAGAAAAGUUACAAAAUGUAUGUAUAGAAAAAGUUGUUGGAAACCAACACCAUAGUGGGUGAUAGUCCCGUAUUCGAAAUACAUAUAUCUUUUUAUCACUGUUCUUGAGUACUUCAAGACACGAAUAGCUUGAAGGAAUCCACCAGAACUAACUGGUAAGGCUAAAUACAUUGUAGAAACCGAUAGUGAACUAGUACCGUGAGGGAAAGGUGAAAAGUACUCCGAGAGGAGGGUGAAAUAGUACUGAAACCAUAUGCUUACAAGGAGUCGGAGCGGGUAUUUAUAUCCGUCACGGCGUGCCUAUUGAAGAAUGAGCCAACGAGUUUAUGUGUGCGGCUUGGCUAAGGAGUACAGCUCCGGAGCCACAGCGAAAGCAAGUGUUAAUAGCGCGUCUGCCCCUCGGGGCGGUCGUACACAUAAGACCCGAAGCCAGGUGAGCUAUCCAUGAGCAGGGUGAAGUUUGACGAAAGUCAGAUGGAGGCCCGAACCGGUAGAUCGUACAACGUCUUCGGAUGACUUGUGGAUUGGAGUGAAAAGCUAAUCGAACCUGGUAAUAGCUGGUUCUCUCCGAAAUAGCUUUAGGGUUAGCGUCAUGCGUUCCCAUGGGGGGUAGAGCACUGGAAAGUUUCGACAGGGAGCAAUCUCGCGACACUUAUCAAACUCCGAAUACCCAUGGUCAAGUAGCGUGGCAGUUAGUCUACGGGGGCUAAGCUCCGUUAGACAAAAGGGAAACAGCCCAGAUCUCUAAUUAAGGUCCCUAAAUAUAUACUAAGUACAUACUAAGGAUGUGAGAUUUCUCUGACAAUGAGGAAGUUGGCUUAGAAGCAGCCAUCUUUUAAAGAAAGCGUAACAGCUCACUCAUCAAGAGAUCUUGCGCCGCAGAUAAUCGGGGUUAAGUAUAUUACCGAAGUUGAGGGCUUGUAGAUUUUAUAAAGGAAGUAAAUAAAAAUAAUUAAUAAAAAAUGGUCCUGUAGCUCAGCGGUAGAGCAACUCUAUCACAGGAGAUGGUAUUGGGUUCGAACCCCAACUGGAUCACGAAUGGAAAUUAUUUUUUAUAUAAUUUCCUUCUUUUAUAAAAUCUACAAGCGGUAGGAGAGUAUUCUGCACUAGCUGUGAAGGUAAAGGCGUGAGCCAUACUGGAGCGUGCAGAAGUAAGAAUGUUGGCACAAGUAACCGCAAGCAGGGUGAGAUCCCCUGCCGUCGAAAGAUCAAGGUUUCCUGGGCAAUGGUGAUCAUCCCAGGGUUAGUCGGGUCCUAAGGUCAUGGCGAAAGCCGCAGUCGAUGGACAUAUGGUUAAUAUUCCAUAACUUCUUAUACAAUCGAAGGAGGGACGAAGUGUAGUACUGUGAGCCGGUAAUUGGAUUCCGGUAGACACGAAGAGCAGGGAGGAUAGGCAAAUCCGUUCUCCAUUACUGCCAAUUGUGGAUCGUGCAGAGGUUCGCCCGAGCGGAGUCACACGAGCACACUUCCAAGAAAAGCUUCUAAGAUUAUUGUAUGAGAACCCGUACCGCAAACCGACACAGGUGAUCAGGUCGAGUAGACCAAGACGAACGAGUGAGAGGUCCUCAAGGAACUCGGCAAAAAAGCAGCCGUAACUUCGGAAUAAGGCUUCCCCCCAGCACACAGCGUGUGCUGUGAGAAGUUAGUAGUAAUUAGUUAGUAGUUAGUAGGAGCUCAUAGUACGAGACCCACUUUCUACUUUCUACUUACUACUUACUCCUCGCACGCAAAUUGCGUGCUGGGGGGCGCAGCGAAAGUAUCUCUGGCAACUGUUUACCAAAAACACAGCUCCCUGCGAACUCGUAAGAGGAUGUAUAGGGGGUGACACCUGACCAAUGCCAGAAGGUUAAUUACGGGCGGUCCGCUUUCGCACUUUGAACACAAAGUGCUAUAGCGAGACGAGGUGCGAUUUUAUAUCAAGCCUCGCCUCGCCGAAGCAACCUUGCGAGCAAGGUGCGGAGGCGGGCUGACUUGUACAAGCCCUGGUGAAUGUCGGCCGUAACUAUAACGGUCCUAAGGUUGUACGUGCAAUUUAUUUGUGCGUACAAGGACUGGGACUGUUGUAGGUGUUUAGAUAAAUAGAGCCUUUAAAAAGUUAAUUACAUUCAUACGCUACCUAACGCACAGUAAUGUGUUAUUAGUCCAUUGUGGGUAUCAAGAGACCAACCCCACACACCCUAAUUUUCCGAAAAGAUAAUGGGUGAAGUAAGAGUCCUUCUGCAUAGGAAUAGAAGAGCGAAAUUCCUUGUCGGGUAAGUUCCGACGCGCACGAAUGGUGUAAUGACUGGAGAACUGUCUCGAGGACUUGCUCGGUGAAAAUACAAUACCGGUGAAGAUGCCGGUUACCUGCAGUUAGACGAAAAGACCCCGGAAGCUUUACUACAGCUUGGUAUUGGGUAUAUCUGUAUAUUUCGUAGCAUAGAGAGGAGACUUUGAAGCGUCGUUUUCGGACCACGUGGAGUCGUCAGUGAAAUACUCUUAUCUAUAUGUAUAUAUCCUAACCGGUGCGGCAAAAACGCACCGAGACAGUGCCUGGUGGGUAGUUUUACUGGGGCGGUAUCCUCCCAAAAAGUAACGGAGGAGUCCAAAGGUCAGCUAGGCGCGAAUGGAAACCGUGCCGAUAGUGCAAUGGCAUAAGCUGGCUUGACUGUGAGGGGGACAUCCCGAGCAGGUGCGAAAGCAGAGCAUAGUGAACCGACAAUUCGCAUUAGAUGCGGUUGAAGAUUAACGGAUAGAAGCUACUCCGGGGAUAACAGGCUAGUUCCGCCUAAGCGUCCAUAGCGACGGCGGAGUUCGGCACCUCGAUGUCGGCUCACCUUAUCCUGGGGGUGUAGAAGCUCCCAAAGGUUUGGCUGUUCGCCAAUUAAAAAGGUACGCGAGCUGGGUUCAGACCGUGAAGAGUUGGAAGGUAGAAAAUAGAAGAUAGAAAGUAGUUGAAAUGCAUUUAUUUGUGUUUUUCUACUCUCUACCCUCUACGCUCCACUUUCUGCUUUUCAUUGUCUGAAUCCCGAGGAAAUUUUUCAGCAUUUUUCAUUUAAAAAUGCACACAGAAUUAUUUCUGUUUUAGUCUUUUCGUUCUAAUAAAAGUAAAGUUCUCACAUCCGUCCAAAAUGGUGUGAGAAAGAAAGAUAAACCUAAACACACUGAGGUGUGUCGGUUAAAGAGAACCAUCUUAUUACGG
RNAcentral lists this ribosomal RNA (3546 nucleotides) under wastewater metagenome. RNAcentral's name for it is "bacterial LSU rRNA". It matches the Rfam family "Bacterial large subunit ribosomal RNA". The record is from RNAcentral.